RNAcentral lists this ribosomal RNA (301 nucleotides) under uncultured bacterium. RNAcentral describes it as "partial 16S ribosomal RNA". It matches the Rfam family "Bacterial small subunit ribosomal RNA", at positions 509 to 809 of the family's 1533-position model. The record is from RNAcentral.
CAGUAGCCGCGGGAAUACAGAGGGUGCGAGCGUUAAUCUGAUUUACUGGGCGUAAAGCGUGCGUAGGCGGCUUCUUAAGUCGGAUGUGAAAUCCCUGAGCUUAACUUAGGAAUUGCAUUCGAUACUGGGAAGCUAGAGUAUGGGAGAGGAUGGUAGAAUUCCAGGUGUAGCGGUGAAAUGCGUAGAGAUCUGGAGGAAUACCGAUGGCGAAGGCAGCCAUCUGGCCUAAUACUGACGCUGAGGUACGAAAGCAUGGGGAGCAAACAGGAUUAGAUACCCGCGUAGUCCCUGUCUCUUAUAA